Molecule: ribosomal RNA, 490 nt
Filed under: uncultured bacterium
Lineage: Bacteria
Description: partial 16S ribosomal RNA
Rfam family: Bacterial small subunit ribosomal RNA
Source: RNAcentral
AUUGAACGCUGGCGGCAGGCCUAACACAUGCAAGUCGAACGGUAACAGGAAGCAGCUUGCUGCUUCGCUGACGAGUGGCGGACGGGUGAGUAAUGUCUGGGAAACUGCCUGAUGGAGGGGGAUAACUACUGGAAACGGUAGCUAAUACCGCAUAACGUCGCAAGACCAAAGAGGGGGACCUUAGGGCCUCUUGCCAUCGGAUGUGCCCAGAUGGGAUUAGCUAGUAGGUGGGGUAACGGCUCACCUAGGCGACAAUCCCUAGCUGGUCUGAGAGGAUGACCAGCCACACUGGAACUGAGACACGGUCCAGACUCCUACGGGAGGCAGCAGUGGGGAAUAUUGCACAAUGGGCGCAAGCCUGAUGCAGCCAUGCCGCGUGUAUGAAGAAGGCCUUCGGGUUGUAAAGUACUUUCAGCGGGGAGGAAGGGAGUAAAGUUAAUACCUUUGCUCAUUGACGUUACCCGCAGAAGAAGCACCGGCUAACUCCGUG